AUUGAACGCUAGCGGGAGGCUUUACACAUGCAAGUCGAACGAGUGGCGGACGGGUGAGUAAUAUAUCGGAACCUGCCCAGUAGCGGGGGAUAACUACUGGAAACGGUUGCUAAUACCGCAUACCAUCCGAUCGGCCCCUAUAGGAUUAGUUAGUAGGUGGGGUAAAGGCUCACCAAGGCAACGAUCCCUAGCUGGUUUGAGAGGAUGACCAGCCAGACAGGGACUGAGACACGGCCCAGACUCCGACGGGAGGCAGCAGUGGGGAAUAUUGGACAAUGGGGGAAAGCCUGAUGCAGCCAUACCGCGUGUAUGAGAAGGCCUUCGGGUUGUAAAGAACUUUUGGCAGAGAAGCGGUAUCUGCAGAAGAAGCACCGGCUAACUACGUGCCAGCAGCCGCGGUAAUUC
Molecule: ribosomal RNA, 405 nt
Filed under: uncultured bacterium
Lineage: Bacteria
Description: partial 16S ribosomal RNA
Rfam family: Bacterial small subunit ribosomal RNA
Source: RNAcentral